GACGUAGGGCGCGAGCGUUGUCCGGAAUUACUGGGCGUAAAGGGCUCGUAGGUGGCCAACUAAGUCAGACGUGAAAUCCCUCGGCUUAACCGAGGAACUGCCCUCCAAACUGCGUUGCUUGAGGCCGGGAGAGGUGAGUGGAAUUCCCAGUGUAGCGGUGAAAUGCGUAGAUAUUGGGAAGAACACCCGUGGCGAAGGCGGUUCUCUGGGACGGUACUGACGCUGAGACGCGAAAGCGUGGGGAGCGAACAGG
RNAcentral lists this ribosomal RNA (253 nucleotides) under uncultured bacterium. Its description in RNAcentral is "partial 16S ribosomal RNA". It matches the Rfam family "Bacterial small subunit ribosomal RNA", at positions 524 to 776 of the family's 1533-position model. The record is from RNAcentral.